UACGAAGGGGGCUAGCGUUGCUCGGAAUCACUGGGCGUAAAGCGCACGUAGGCGGACUCUUAAGUCAGGGGUGAAAUCCUGGAGCUCAACUCCAGAACUGCCCUUGAUACUGGCGGUCUCGAGUCCGGGAGAGGUGAGUGGAACUGCGAGUGUAGAGGUGAAAUUCGUAGAUAUUCGCAAGAACACCAGUGGCGAAGGCGGCUCACUGGCCCGGUACUGACGCUGAGGCGCGAAAGCGUGGGGAGCAAACAGG
Molecule: ribosomal RNA, 253 nt
Filed under: uncultured bacterium
Lineage: Bacteria
Description: partial 16S ribosomal RNA
Rfam family: Bacterial small subunit ribosomal RNA
Source: RNAcentral